This 465-nucleotide ribosomal RNA is filed under the name uncultured bacterium. RNAcentral's name for it is "bacterial SSU rRNA". It matches the Rfam family "Bacterial small subunit ribosomal RNA", at positions 917 to 1382 of the family's 1533-position model. The record is from RNAcentral.
GGGCCCGCACAAGCGGAGGAACAUGUGGUUUAAUUCGAUGAUACGCGAGGAACCUUACCCGGGUUUGAACGUAGGGAGACAGGGGUGGAAACAUCCUUUUCAGCAAUGACUGCCUACGAGGUGCUGCAUGGUUGUCGUCAGCUCGUGCCGUGAGGUGUCGGCUUAAGUGCCAUAACGAGCGCAACCCUUAUUUUCAGUUACUAACAGGUAAUGCUGAGGACUCUGAAGAGACUGCCAGCGUAAGCUGUGAGGAAGGUGGGGAUGACGUCAAAUCAGCACGGCCCUUACAUCCGGGGCGACACACGUGUUACAAUGGUAAGGACAAAGGGCAGCUACCGGGCGACCGGAUGCUAAUCUCUAAACCUUAUCUCAGUUCGGAUCGGAGUCUGCAACUCGACUCCGUGAAGCUGGAUUCGCUAGUAAUCGCGCAUCAGCCAUGGCGCGGUGAAUACGUUCCCGGGCCUU